Molecule: transfer RNA, 59 nt
Filed under: Paramphistomum leydeni
Lineage: Eukaryota; Metazoa; Platyhelminthes; Trematoda; Plagiorchiida; Paramphistomidae
Description: tRNA-Ser
Source: RNAcentral
GAGGGUUAUUUUAUUGUCGCUGCUAACGAUGGUAGGGAUACUUGAUUAUCCGACCUUCU